GCGAAGAACCUUACCAGGUCUUGACAUCCUUUGACCACUCUAGAGAUAGAGCUUUCCCUUCGGGGACAAAGUGACAGGUGGUGCAUGGUUGUCGUCAGCUCGUGUCGUGAGAUGUUGGGUUAAGUCCCGCAACGAGCGCAACCCUUAUUGUUAGUUGCCAUCAUUCAGUUGGGCACUCUAGCGAGACUGCCGGUGACAAACCGGAGGAAGGUGGGGAUGACGUCAAAUCAUCAUGCCCCUUAUGACCUGGGCUACACACGUGCUACAAUGGACGGUACAAUGAGUCGCAAGACCGCGAGGUUUAGCUAAUCUCUUAAAGCCGUUCUCAGUUCGGAUUGUAGGCUGCAACUCGCCUACAUGAAGCCGGAAUCGCUAGUAAUCGUGGAUCAGCACGCCACGGUGAAUACGUUCCCGGGCCUUGUACACACCGCCCGUCACACCACGAGAGUUUGUAACACCCAAAGUCGGUGAGGUAACCUUUUGGAGCCAGCCGCCUAAGGUGGGAUAGAU
This 510-nucleotide ribosomal RNA is filed under the name Vagococcus carniphilus. RNAcentral describes it as "bacterial SSU rRNA". It matches the Rfam family "Bacterial small subunit ribosomal RNA", at positions 961 to 1472 of the family's 1533-position model. Lineage: Bacteria; Bacillati; Bacillota; Bacilli; Lactobacillales; Enterococcaceae. The record is from RNAcentral.